UCUGCCUCCAGACAGGCCACUCCUUGGGCUUCCAUUUGCACAUCUUAUCCCUUUGAUGAUAGAACAUGCCCUACCUGCCCGCAGGUUUGACAAGGCAAACAUUUGGUUCCAUUUAUUGGGGUAGCUCAGGGCCACUGCUUCGUAGGUGUGAUUUCACUCAGUCCUUCACACAAACCGUGAGGUUGACCUCAUGUUCAUCCCCACAACACAGAUGAGAAAACCAAGGGUUAGAGGACAGGCAGUGAGGGGCAGGCAAAGCCAGGGGUCAGAUCUGUUCUGGCUUCAGAGCCUCGACUCUGUCUCACAAAUAGAAUAUUUUCUUCUAAAAGUCAUAGCACUGUCUUUGGGGUGGGGUGGGGCCAUGGAUUUUCUUGUUGAAAAAGAUCCAGAGCUCUCAUAUGGAAAUGGGUCCACAGGGGCAAGGAGCCUGGCCAGGACUGGAACACUGAUGGAUGGAUACUUUUGGAAGGUGCUGGGAAUGGGCACGCUGUCAAAGUCACUGGCCACUGCUCUCACCUGUACAUGGUAUUGAGUACUGGUCCACGUACUCAGCCAGUUCCUUCACAAGUCUGCGAGAGUGGGCACAUGCCUGAAGAAUGAGGAUGGGGCGGGGAGGGUGAGGAGGGAAAAUGGGGGCAUAAUGCAGGGUCCUACCUGGGGGACUGGAUAUUGAUUGGGAGCUUCCUGGACAAGUGAGGCAGGUAAGACUAGGUGAGGGCUGGUGAAGACAGAUGAGGCUAGGUGAGACUAGGUGGGGGCAGGUGAGAGCAGUGAGACUGGGUGAGGGCAGCUGAGGGCAUAUGAGGCUAGGUGAGACUGGGUGAGGGCAGGUGGGGCAGGUGAGAGCAGAUGAGACUGGGUGAGGGCAGAUGAGGCUAGGUGAGACUAGCUGAG
RNAcentral lists this long non-coding RNA (894 nucleotides) under Pan troglodytes (chimpanzee). Its description in RNAcentral is "long non-coding RNA NONPTRT004418". Lineage: Eukaryota; Metazoa; Chordata; Mammalia; Primates; Hominidae. The record is from RNAcentral.